This 408-nucleotide long non-coding RNA is filed under the name Felis catus (domestic cat). RNAcentral's name for it is "lncRNA (ENSFCAG00000051191.1)". Lineage: Eukaryota; Metazoa; Chordata; Mammalia; Carnivora; Felidae. The record is from RNAcentral.
CGAGGGGCGUGGCCUAGAGGGGCGGGGAGGCGGGGCCACGCCCCCAGGAGGCCGGCGCUUGGCCGCCUUGACCAGUCCGGAGCCGCGCGCGGACGCGAGGUGGGUGGGUCUGCGGAAGCGGGUUCCUCCUCCUUUAAGGUUCGGUGACUCGUGGGCAGCCGGCCGCAGUGUCCGUGCACUUGUUUUCCGCAGAAGGUGAUUAUCGUGGCAACUCCUGUUAGUGCCUUCGCCGGGCACCCAGCACCCGGUCUCUGGCCCUUGGCACUCAGCACCCGGCACCCAGCGCUCAGCCUGCAGAGCACCUGGGCGGUCAAGCAGGACGUCUCCCGCGGGGUCUUGCGCUCUGCCAAAGAUUUUUAUUUAUUUAUUUUUUAACUGCCGUGUUACGUUGAAUUCUUCCAGAAGCAA